UCCAAGAUGUUGAGCUGACUUCAAAAGUCCCCAAUCCGACAGAGUAAUGUCACAACAAGCCUGAUCUUUGGAGGACGUUGGAGGCCCUGCAAUACAACCGAGAGAACCCAGAAGAUCUGCUAAUGUUCCAGUGCCAGACACCACAGGACACCUCCUGAGGUUCUUGACCAAAUGAAUUAAUUUUACUCUCCUGGGAUGAAUAGUCACACUUAUGUCAAACAAGUGGGAUGUUAAAGGUCCUGAGAUGUGUCAGCGUGUCAGCUGAGAACUGGACUGCUAUUUCUGAAACUCUGCAGCUGCGAAAGAAAAGUGGCAAGAAGGUUGAAGAUGACCGCCUGCAGCAGAACAGAAAAUCUGGCAGCACCUGUCUCUGCUGCUGAGCAAGGGGAUCUCGACCCGCAGACCACCAAGGCUGCUAGAUGUUAGCAGAGAUU
Long non-coding RNA from Pundamilia nyererei, 434 nucleotides. RefSeq lists it as uncharacterized. The record is from RefSeq and is a predicted model, not a curated record. NCBI's taxonomy places the organism in Eukaryota, Metazoa, Chordata, Actinopteri, Cichliformes, Cichlidae. The transcript has 3 exons.